UACGUAGGGACCAAGCGUUGUUCGGAUUUACUGGGCGUAAAGAGCUCGUAGGUGGUUUGUCGCGUUGUUCGUGAAAACUCACAGCUCAACUGUGGGCGUGCGGGCGAUACGGGCAGACUAGAGUACUGCAGGGGAGACUGGAAUUCCUGGUGUAGCGGUGGAAUGCGCAGAUAUCAGGAGGAACACCGGUGGCGAAGGCGGGUCUCUGGGCAGUAACUGACGCUGAGGAGCGAAAGCGUGGGGAGCGAACAGG
RNAcentral lists this ribosomal RNA (253 nucleotides) under uncultured bacterium. RNAcentral's name for it is "partial 16S ribosomal RNA". It matches the Rfam family "Bacterial small subunit ribosomal RNA", at positions 524 to 776 of the family's 1533-position model. The record is from RNAcentral.